This 6129-nucleotide long non-coding RNA is filed under the name Amborella trichopoda. Its description in RNAcentral is "long non-coding RNA (ATRI_LNC000232)". Lineage: Eukaryota; Viridiplantae; Streptophyta; Magnoliopsida; Amborellales; Amborellaceae. The record is from RNAcentral.
GAAAUUAAAAACGAACCUUCUUGUUUUUAAAUAGGGAUUUUUUUUAAAAAAAUGUUUAAUAGACUAGAUUUGAAUCCCUUAAAGGCAACUUUGCCGAGGUGAUCAUUUUAUUUUUUGAUCGCUUCUUUUCCCUGUUGCCAAUAUCAAAUAAGGAUUUUGGUGCGUGAUCUCUUAACUCCAUUUAUCUGAUCAAUGCAAAUCCUAAUGAGGAUUGUUAAUCCACAUUUUCCAUUUUUAAUGUGUACUAAUAUUUUUCAUUUAAUAUGCACACACAUACAAUUGCUUGGCCUUUUUUUUUAAUUGGGAAUGUACUUUAAAAUCUCAAUUAAUAAUUUGUGAAUUUAAAAAUAGUCCUCUAGAUAUUUUGUAAUUUUAUAUUACCAUUUAUCCCUAAUUUGGACAUUUAAUGCCCGAGCAAGGGGUUUCGCAUUUUUUAGUUGAAAACAUUGUUAAUGGGAUGGUAGAGACAGGGGAUCAGCAUGUCUCACUUGGAAAAUUAUUGUGACUAACAAUGAUCGCUGAAUCUCGCCACAUGUAAAUUUUCUCAAACGAUUAGUGAUUUGGACGUUGUCUAUAUUUGAACCUAGCCCAUUUGAAUGAACAAUACAGAAAAACAUUCUUUCUGUGUUAAAAACUUUGUUAAUUAGUAGUACAGACACUGGAUGUUCGAGUAUAUCUCACUCAGAAAAAUGCUGUGGCUAACAAUAUUCCUGAACUCUGACACUUGUAUAGUUUCACCAACAAUAAUUGAUUUAAACAUUGUAUACAUUUGAACCUAGCCGAUUUGAAUGAACAAAACACAUAAAUUAAUAAGAUCAAAUGCAAGGCCAAGGUGGUCAGGGUGGUGGUGUCAUACCGCAUUCUUGGGUUUCAUUCCUAUCUCCUUUAACAUUAAAUAAUCUUUGAAUGAAAAUAUAACACUUAUGUACUCUAAAGUGAAGACUUAAAGAGUGCUUUCUUAAUGAUAAGGUUUGGAAUCGAAUGUAAGAUGUCAUGUCAUGGCACUGUCCAACCUGACCACCUAUGUUUUAUGUCUCUAUGUUUUUUUUUGUGUUUUAGUUUUUAUUAAUUCAAUACGAUGGAUGGUUUGGAUAUUAGAUGUUUGAAAUCGUCUUUUAAAAAAAAUUGACAAGGGAUGAGCUUCUCUUGAAAGAAGGAUUGUCUGGAACAAUAGAUGUUCGAACUGGUCCAUUGAUAAGAAACCCAUUUUGGUUAUCCAAUGUUUGAAUUGUUUGUUGUAAAAAUAGAGGAUAUUUGAUUUGUUUCUUUUCAAGGCAUCAAUCACCGUUUGUAUACCUCUCUUAUAUCGAUGGAGGAUGUUGUGCCUCUAAGAAAAUAGUCACUCGUUUUUGAGGACUUUUUUGUAAAAGUGGGUAGGCCCAGCCUAUGACUAUAGGUGUUUGAGAGGCCAUCUCUUUCAUUUGAUAUUGGGUUGGGCUCGCUAUAUUGUUACCUUUCGUCCAUGAAGUUUUUGGGCCUUUUAAAUUUAGAUGUUCUGAGGAGUGUUUGUAAAUUGGCCAGUAAUUAGUGUUGUGAAAUAAAUGGUUGACUUUAGCUAUGCCAUAUUUGAUCCUUUAUCCUAUGAUUGACUUGAUUUUUGGAGGGUAAGCUCCUGAUGUUUUGGAUUAAAGAUAAACUGAGCUGUCAGAUUACUAUUUUGGGGUAGUUUGAGCAAAGUUUGACCAUGCCUCCAUUUGGAAUGUCUGAUUGUUUGAUUUGGGCUUGAUUGGGUUGUGAUAUUUCUUGUUUGCGGAGGGGAGCAUCUUUCUAUCAUAUUAAGGGCAUUUUUUCUUUUUUUCAUCUUAAAAUUUAUUAUGAGAUUGUUUUUUACCUACCGAAGUAGACUUAGUUGGGUUGGGCUUUUGUAGCGUAGAACCAGUAUAACACUCGUUAAGUGGUAUAAGUUUGUUGAAAUAGAAAGCUCAAAAAUGGGUAAAGGUCCCGAGUAGAACUGUCGUGUGGGGCUAUUAAUGUAUUUAACCAUGGGAACUAGGCCUGACCUAUUAUUUUCUUUGGUACCAAUUGUGGAAUUGUUUUAUUUAAUCUUCAUGAACUAACAAGUACACCAUGGAAGGCUUAAUUUCAAAACUUGAUGAACAAUGAAGGAAGCAAUGGGUGGUGGUGGAAGCUAGGCUAUUUCUCUCUCUUUCUCUUUAUUAAGUUCUCAAAUAAAUUGAAGUUGUGUUUUUUGAAUCUUAGGUUUGUAUUUAUAUUAAAGUGGUACUUAGUGAAGUGAUAUAGAUCAUUGAUGCUUUUUAUCUAUGGCACAUGAGAUGGCUAUGAUCCUAGCCACUCAUCCACAUCUAUCCACCAAGAUGAAGGGAUGAGAUUACCACACUUCUGUAACCCCUUACUGACCUAUUUAUGGGAUGUUUUGAUCAUUUUUCCUUUUAGGCAUGCUUCACAUUUAUGACAUGGCUCAAACUUUUGUGAUGAAGCCACAUAAGAAAGUCAUAUUUCAAAAUAUCUCCCAUGGAUUAGAUUUUGUUUUGGCUCAAAUAUCUUAAAUAUAUCAAAAGGGUUACAUGGGAGCCUUAUACAAUUACUAAAAGAUUAUACGCACCUAUGGUGCUUUGGUGAUUAUAUUAGAUACCAAGGCUUGUUAUAGAAUUUUUACAAUGGAGUAAAUUGUAAAUUACUUGUGGGACAAGAACCAAAGAGUAAAAAGGUUAACCUAGGGUUUAUGGGUGAUUUGUGUGUUGUAGUCUCAUUUCUGAUCUUGAUGGUUGGAUUGAGAUGAGUGGUUAGGAUCAUAGCCUCUCAUAUGCCAUAGAUGAAAGGCAUCAAGGGCCAAGAUCACUUCACCCGUUAUUACUUUAAUAUAAAUACAUUAGAUUUAUUCAACAUUAACUUCAUACCAGUUGAGGACUUAGAAAGAGAAAGAGACUCAAAGUGGCCUCUACGCUCCUACCGUUUUUCCUUCAUUGGUCAUCAAGUUUUGAAACCAAAAUCCCGUAUGGUGUGCUCACUAGUUCAAUUCUAUACUGCUUUUAUUGAUGUUUAAUUUCAUCAAAGAUACAUUUUCCUCAUCUUUAGGUUGUAAAUCUUAAUUCCAUGGUAUUUCAUGAUAGAAUUAAAACAUAUGCAUCUUACCUUGAUGUUGUGUAGUCUAGAUUGAAUUUCUAUCAACUAGACAUCCUUUUCUCUAGCUUUUGCUCACUUGAUUUCAUUGAGCAUUUAAGUGAUCGUAAUCAUUAGAUCAGUGAGUCUUCUAAGUCCUCUAAGUUUCCAAAAUAUUGACUUCGUUAUUGCCUUGAGUAGUCUUCUAAGUCUAUGAACCAUGAAAAUCUACGUGCUCAUUGUCUAAGUGUUUUUAGCAGCAUCUCUCUCAACCUAUUUUGAUGUUUAAUCUUCGUCAUCUCUAUCUCACUUUGAACCUACCCUUCAGAAUUAUAAACUAUACCAUACAUGCUUUUAUGUAUGGAACAAUACUAAGUGCCUCAAAGGUCCAUCUUGUGAUCUGGGCACAAAGGGUAUGAGUUUUGGUUUUUCCAUACUGAGCACUCCACUCAUUGUGGUUAUAUUUGUGAAUAAUUUGAGAUUGUAUUCAAGUUGAUUAUUUAACCGCUUUGUUUUAGUUAUGGAUGACAUAAUUAGGAACCUAUAGGAUGAAAUAUUGUGGUUCAUGUUGUUCGCAUAUGCAUAGUUGUGACCGAUGAGACCCAAAACGGCGUCAAAAUAAAUUUAGAACUUUGGAAGGAUGCUCUAGAUUCCAAAAGUUUUAAAAUUCGUCAGACUAAGAAAGAAUAUGGAAUGCAAGUUUUGUAAUAAUAGAAAUAGAGACGAGGAAGUAGUUACGAUUGAUUGGCCACAAAGUACAAAAAAAGAGUAUUUGGAUUGCAAGUUUGGUAGUAAUAGGAAUAGAGACGAGGAAGUGGUUAAGAUUAAUUGGCCACGAAGUACAAAAAAGACUGCACUUUGGGUAUCUUGUAUCGAUAAUUCAGGAAAAUGGAGAGAUUGAGGACGAUGCUUGACACAAAAUUAGAGUUGGUUGGGCGAAGUGGAGAUAACUAGAAUUUUAUGUGCAUCACAUACCAAUGAAGCAAUACACCCAUAGAAUGAGUGUAGCAUAUAUGAGGAUGUUGAGAUUGAAGAUUGGCUAGACAAGAAGGGAUAGAAUUUGAAAUGAAUCCAUUCGGAUUAAUUUAGGUGAGGCAUCAAUAGGCGACUUUAUGAGUCCAAUGUUAUUAUAUUCGCUGUAAAAUACUCCCAAAACAAACCUUUCUAAAAUCUUGAAGUGUUACAAAACCUUAUAGUUCAUAGCCUCCCUUCUUUACCGCACUUCACCGUGACCACCAUAGGCUCAAAUGAUGUUCCAUGGACUUUCAAUUAGAGUGAUGUCUUUCUGACCAUAUAGGCCUUAAAAAUUAAGGUAUCACAUUUUACCUCAAAGAGAAUAUUUUACACACUUAACCUAACCCUAAUUUUCUCUUAUAAAAAAGGGUUCGUGGCCCCUUUAGUUUUCACUCACUUGAGAGUAAUAAGUUUUUUCCCAAAAUUUUAUUGUGAUAACGGUAGAGGGAUAGGCAUGCCUGUAGUAGAGUGAGGAGUCAUAGCCAGCCUCCCUUCUUUACCGCACUUCACCGUGACCACCAUAGGCUCAAAUGAUGUUCCAUGGACUUUUAUUCCACUCAUUUUCUUCGUCAAACACCUUCGUCAUAGGUGAUUUCCAAAAGGUUCAAACCUUUUUGCUAUCUACAUUAGCCCCUUUUAAAUGUCCUCAUAAUGUCAAUUUUUUACUUGGCAUAGUCCAUAACUUUUCCUUCCGUUUAGCCUCAUUAAAAGCUUGUUAUAAGAGAGUAUUUUAGAACCUAAUUCCUCUUUAUUAAAUUAGUCAUUAUUAGUCUAGGUUAAUAUAUAUUAAUCUGAGAGGAGAGUGAAUGAUACAAUAGGUGGGACGUACACCUUAUUUAUACAUUUUUUUUUACUUUGGUUAUCAUGCGACAUUAAAGAAGUAUUAAAACUUUUUCGCAGUUUCGUACUAUAACUACUUCAUGGGCCUUUUGAGAUAUGACCAAUGAGAACUUUCCUUUUGUCAUAUGUGUGGAUCAAUUAAAAUUCUUCGUAAAGUUGGAUGUAAAAACUCUUAGGUCAUUAGUUUGAAUGCUUGAUAUCAACAUAUGCCCUUUCUUGUAAAAUGUGGUUUUCAAACAUGUGUAAAGUGCUACUUUCCCAUACUUAAAACUUUUUAAUGCACAAGUAUAAAACAUGUAGGCUGCCUAUGGAUGAUACGAGUUACACUUUACCAUGUGCGUGCCCCAUAUGGAAGCCCAUUCUGGCGCUCAUGUAGCCUAUUGGCCACAUGUGUCCAGUUGGUCCUUGUUUGAAAUUUUCCUAGUUUUUCCUAUUGGAAAAGAAAAAUAUAGGGGAACUGGUAAUAACAAAUUGAACACUAGGGUUGUUAGACCUUGAUCGAUACUCACAUUGGCAUGAAUUGGCUUUUAACUAUUCUGAGCCAGCUUGUAGAUUUUUAAAACAAAUAGCAGAAAAUUGCACCUACCCCACUCUUGAAAUGAUAGAUAUGCUGGCUUGUGUGUGAUACUUAAAUCGGCAUGUAAUGUGCUCACAGUUGGUUAGUAGUUUUAUAUUAAUGGGGUUGAAAAUCAUAAAAAAGAAAAAAAAAAAAAAAAAACGGACAAAAUUAUUCUCUAAGACUUUGCUCUUAAUCUUUGAUGGGCAAAGAUUAUGUCCUCUUCAAAUGAAUUUUCUAGGAGGAAAAGUUUUUAUAAGGUUAAUACCUUGUGUUACAGAAUUAAGGUACAUCUCAAAAAUUCAUUGGAAAAGGCUUUUUUUAUUUGGAAAACCACCUAAUCAAUCAUUUUCAUGUUGAGAUGUGUGAAUAUGGGAGAAUAAAAUUUCAAUAUCCUAAAAAUAGUACAUCUUGCUAGAUGUUUAUUUUCAAGAUUUUCGUGCAUUUAUAGAUUUGCUUGAUUUGAACCAUUUUUUUUUUUUUUGGAAUUUAUAAUUUUAUAAUUAAAAAUAUAAAAUAUAUUCUCAGGCAUCCUAAGAGUUUUUUACCCCAAAAUUGUAUCUCCAGACAAAGUUUGGAAGUGUGUCCUUCAUUGUUUAAGGUUGAGACCUUAUGCAAACAAUGCCCUUUUGUAAAUCUUCGGACUUUAGAUGAUGCCC